This 429-nucleotide ribosomal RNA is filed under the name Pseudomonadota bacterium. RNAcentral's name for it is "Proteobacteria bacterium partial 16S ribosomal RNA". It matches the Rfam family "Bacterial small subunit ribosomal RNA", at positions 355 to 776 of the family's 1533-position model. Lineage: Bacteria; Pseudomonadati; Pseudomonadota. The record is from RNAcentral.
UGGGGAAUAUUGGACAAUGGGCGAAAGCCUGAUCCAGCCAUGCCGCGUGUGUGAAGAAGGUCUUCGGAUUGUAAAGCACUUUAAGUUGGGAGGAAGGGCAGUAAGCGAAUACCUUGCUGUUUUGACGUUACCGACAGAAUAAGCACCGGCUAACUCUGUGCCAGCAGCCGCGGUAAUACAGAGGGUGCAAGCGUUAAUCGGAAUUACUGGGCGUAAAGCGCGCGUAGGUGGUUCGUUAAGUUGAAGGUGAAAGCCCCGGGAUCAACCUGGGAACUGCAUCCAAAACUGGCGAGCUAGAGUAGGGCAGAGGGUGGUGGAAUUUCCUGUGUAGCGGUGAAAUGCGUAGAUAUAGGAAGGAACACCAGUGGCGAAGGCGACCACCUGGGCUCAUACUGACACUGAGGUGCGAAAGCGUGGGGAGCAAACAGG